AUGGAUCUAGAUACACAGAAACCAGAGGAAAUCAAUGGGGAGUUGAAGAGCAAUUUGAUUGGAACAGCUGGCAGAUAUAUCAGAGCCAUCAAUGGGAUUAUUGCUUUGAAGCAGAUGUUAAACAGAAUGGGGCAAUAACAGCUGUUGCAAUUAGAGGCAUUGUGGGCACAUUUCUGCACAUAUCUGUCUCAACAUGACAAUGAUCCAACCAAAGACCAGUAAGUCACACAUUAUUUUUUUUCAAAUAUUCAGAAAUUUUAAUUUCACAUCAGCAGUGCUAUCAACAUGAUUUUUCUUAUGGCUUAUGUAAUUUCUGAAGUACCUUAGGCAACGGGAAAAAAAAAAAAGAGAGAGAUCUCAAGUGUCAGCUGAUAAUUUUUUCAACUUUAGUUUCAGAUGAGAAAAUAUUUUUAGCCAUGAGUCAAACCCACUAUGGAAGUCCCCGAGACUGUCAAAAAGACCGUGGUCUGAAGUGGUCAUGAAAGGUAAACCUGGUUCAUCAUUUCACACCUGUGUGCCCCCUUUCCCUAAGGACUUUGGAGGACUUCACUAGCUGUGACAGAGAUUUCUGUUUAUGUGUGCUCCAAAUUCUGCUCAGAGCAUAUUUAGGACAGCUGCAGUUUACAGUAGAUAUUUUAGUUAAACACAUAAAUGGCUAUAUAUUAGUCUAUGUGAGGUGGAGAAAAGGGUUUAAAUGCUGAAGAGGGUUUAGGACAACUUAACUCCACCCAGAGGCUUUCAUCUUGAACUGAACACAUCUAUACAGAGUGACUCUAUGAGAGAAACACUACAUAAGAGAUCUUUGGUUGCCAACAAAAAUUACAUGCAUCCCUUACUGAGUAUGAAGCCCAGAAUCUCUAUGCCUGCUAGAUUUCUUUUCCCUUAUUGUUAAUCCCUUUCCUCUUCCCUUCCCCUUUCCAUUCCUCAGCCCUGUCAGAUAAUGAUAAAAUACAUUUUUAUUAUUUUAUUAUUAUUAUUAUUAUUUAAUACUUUGUAUAUCCUCAAUCUUUCAGAAGUAUCACAGUGGAUUCACACCCUUCCAGUGAGGUUUGCACAGAGGUCAAGUUAAGAGGCUGUGAAAAUUUCUUUGGGAUUGUGAAGACUGGAGAAGCAUCAAACAAUUUUGACUAAAGAACCA
RNAcentral lists this long non-coding RNA (1138 nucleotides) under Anas platyrhynchos platyrhynchos (common mallard). RNAcentral's name for it is "lncRNA (ENSAPLG00000020317.1)". The record is from RNAcentral. Lineage: Eukaryota; Metazoa; Chordata; Aves; Anseriformes; Anatidae.